Benincasa hispida (wax gourd) is the source of this 536-nucleotide non-coding RNA. Lineage: Eukaryota; Viridiplantae; Streptophyta; Magnoliopsida; Cucurbitales; Cucurbitaceae. The record is from RefSeq and is a predicted model, not a curated record.
CCACAAUUGCAUACCACUUUGGCAAGUUUUCUACCAUUCCAUUCACUCCAAAUUUUGCUCCAAUUGCCCCUGCUACAAUUGCCUAUUGAAUAAUACAACAAGCAAAACUGUUAAGAAAUCGACUAUUAUUGUUUUUUAUUUGCCAUUGCUGAAAGAGAAGAAACGAAGAGGUCUGUAGUUUUGUUAUCGUGCAUGGGUAAAUCUUUGAAGAGAAGCGCUAAGUUUAGGGGGAGCCUAAACGUACAAGAUCAAUAAAGCCUGAGCUGAGAAUAGAUCUUGAGAUAGGUGACGUCAAGUUUAAGGGGAGUCUAAAUAAAUUGUCUAUUUAAGGUUUACUAUAUUACUUGAUAGUUGUUCUAUCAGUUAAGUAGUUUCUCUUGUAAACCUUCUGAAUAGUACUUAGCUUCUUUUUAAUUUGGGCAUUAUGCCCCCCAGAUGUAGGUAAAGUUAUACCGAACUGGGUUAACAUAUUGUGUGUUAUUUUUCUUCUCUGCUCGUUUCUUUUAUGUUAAUACUUAUGUCAGCAUCAUUGUGUC